UAGGGAGAGAGGGUGUGUGUAAGCUAGAGCGAGCUGGACGGUGUGUGUGCGCGUGCAUGGAUCAUACAAACCGGAUUAAAGCUCAAACGACUGGAGGCUGGAGACUUUGAGGGCUGGUCGCUGAGAAAUGUUUUCCCCUCCAGCAUGCCGUGUGACCUCUCAGUGAUUCUCGCAAUACCACAGGAUGGCUGCGGUCCACUGUCCCUCUGAGGCUCCACUGGAGUUUCCGGUGUUGGGGUGAGGGCCUCCGUGUCUGUGCCCGAGUGUGAUGCACUGGGCCGCUCCUUGAUGAGGGCCCUGGCCCAUAUGGAUCUUCAUCACUUGGGCCAGAAUCUAUAUUCAACUGCACCUCUGUGGGCUUAGAAGCUUCGAACAAAAGGCUGUUCCCUGCCAUACAACAACAGUGAUUGAGAUGAUACCAGUGCUCCUUACCUUCUACUCUUACUGCAGUUGUGGUUGCCAACACCAGUGUUGUAUAAAGUACCCAAAAGCCAUACUUGAGUAAAAGUAGAGGUAUUUUGUUAGAAAAUGACUCAAGUAAAAGUUAGUCAACCAUUAUAAUUCUACUUGAGUAAAAGUCUUAAAGUAUCUGAAAUAAACUGUACUUAAGUAUCAAAAGUAGUAUUUUCAUGAAUGUAUUCAAGUAUGGAAAGUAGAAGUAAAUUAAUAAAAAAAAGCAAGACUUUGUCCUGCACACUUGCAGGGUCCGCUGUUUGUAGCGGAUCAAUCGACCCGCGUGAUUUGGCACAGCUUUUACGCCGGAUGCCCUUCCUGUCGCAACCCUCCCAUUUUUAUCCAGGCUUGGGACUGGCACUGAGAGUCAACUCUUCAGCAGCUGGGGUGGCGCCCUGCCCAGGAAUCGAACCCGGGCCGCAGCAAUGAGAACGCGGGAUCCUGCCGCUGGACCAUCAGGAGGCCAAGACUGUAAUAAUUUGGAGAAUUAUGAAUUUUAUUCUGUAUUGCUUUCUUUCUUAAACUUCUCAAUAAGUGCACCAAAAAAAUAAGACUUGCAUGAAAUAAAGAAGAGGCCUUUAGAACUGUAUUGUAAUGAACUGUACAGUAUCAGUGUUUCCAUACAUGUGCGCUUGUAACUAAGGCCAUGUCCACACGUAGCCCGGGAUUUUUAAGAAGGGAGAUUUUUCUCUGCAUUUUGACCUUUCGUCCACAUGCUAAUGCAGUUUGAGAACAGUUUGAAAACAGACCUUUUGGAAAACUUCUGCCAAAGUGAAGAUUUUCCAAAACUCACCGUUUUCAGUGGUGUAGUGUGGACAGGGGAAGCGGAGAUUUUGAUGAAUUGACAUCAUUGUCUGUGUGCCGGUCUCCUUGAUUUGAGGUCAGCUUUGUUUAUGAAGAUAUUUUGUGCAAUAGCAGACUUAUGUGAACUACUGACUGUGUUAACGUUGUUUACUGGACUUUUUACAUGCGUGCACAUACACGCGCGGUUACUCAUACAUUACGGUCAUACAAGAUCUGGAAUGUAAUUACGGAGCUCACUGCUGUUGCAUACAAAACUCCGAUAACGCAAACAGCGAUGGAGGUUUUGGAUGAGACCUGGUUGGACUUCUACAUUCUACAAUGAAAUUUUUGCAUGUCAAGGACAUCGCUUUCAUGCGACGCACCAUUGUUGUUAAACUACCAGAACCGGUAAUAAAGUUUUACCCAGCUACAUGUGAACAUAGCCUAAAGUCAUCACUAACCACAAACUUCCUUUACCGCAAAUUUGGAAGCAGGUUUUUUUUUGUAGUAAGUAACGAAAAUGCCAAACAGAAAAUGUAUCGGAGUAAAAGUAUAGAAUUUGUUUCAAAAAAAGUAGUGAAGUAAAAGUUGACAGAAAUAUAAAAACUCAAGUAAAGUACAAAACCUCUCAAAAAAUACUUAAGUACUGUAACGAAGUAAUUUUACUUUGUUACAUUACACCACUGGCCAACACCACCUUAAAGGGACACCUUCAUGGUGUGGUUCCUUCAAAUGCUUUUACUUGUUUACUCUGAUAUAUAUAUUUCUUAUGUUCUAUAAAGUUGCUUUGAGACAAUUUCCAUUGUUAAAAGCACUAUACAAAUAAAAUUGAAUUGAGUUGAUAUAGAUGUAGUCUCUGGGUUCUACAUCCAGAAGUGGAUCCUCCACCCAUGUGCCAUGAGUUGCUUGGCAAACCUGUGAAUACAGAGUUCUUUGGAUUUGGGUUCAUAUGUUUUACAUAACUUGACCUUGAGCUGUUUCAAGGAGGGGCUGUUAUAAGGUGCCCUUGUGAAGGCUACUGGCAUAGUUGACUGGCCUGUCAACAUCUCAUGUGGGGUUAGAUGCAUAUUUCAAUUUGUUUGCGACCACAUUUUUACAACAGCAACCUUUUGAGCAAAUAAUAGGUCCGUGUAGUUUCUGAAUUCCUUAUAGACUUAUUUCUUCCUGCCACAAGCAGAUUGAUGCAACAGCAGUUCAUAGACAGCUUGAAAGUCUCCAAGUGGUUCUGUCCACAGCAGGCCCCUGGGUCACAGGCUGUCCAUGCAGAUCUAUCCCCAGCAGCAUUGAGCACCACCAAGAGACAAAACUCCAACCUGGGUUAGAGCAUCUGGAUGAAUCAGGCAGGUCCAGAAAGAAGUGAUCACACUGGAAACUCAGAACACUGGGAGCCCAGGAGUGGGACAAAUCUUUCGACAGAGAAAGGCAAAGAGAGAGAGAAAAAAAAAUUAGGUAUGCUUGUGAUCAUAGGAUAUUUCAAGACAAUGUAGAUUAUGUGCAAAGUGCAGGCAGGGACUCCAGCAAGACUAGCUAUGACAACAUAACUAAAAGGGAGAGCCAGAAGGUGACAGUCAUGAAGGCUUCCCAGGACAUAAAGUGUCCAACCACUUUACAGUCAGCAAACCUGAGCGACUUGCAAGGGUGGUAAGGUGACAGCAUCCAAACAUCCCAGUACACCAAACACUCUAUGCCCAUGAACGUUCCAGAUCCGCUCCUUUACCCAAGAGAAAAUAUACAUUAAAAGCUUGACUAAACAAAUGUGUUUUCUGCCUGAAAAAGCUCUGCCCCCUGCUGUAGCCUUUGCUUGUGGUACUACCUAAUAGCCUGCAACUUUUGAUCGAAGUAGGUGUGGCAGAUCAUAAAAAACAAAAGAUCGCUCAGGUACUAUGGUGCAAGACCAUUUAGUACUUUUUAGGUCAGUAAUAGUAAUUUAUAAUCAAUGGAAAAUUUGACUGGGAGCCAAUGCAGUGUGCAUAAGGUAGGAGUGAUCAUAUCUUCUGGUUCUAAUUAGGAUUGCUGCAUUUUGGUCUAACUGGAACUUGUUUAUUCUUCUACUGGAACAUCUAGACAGUAAGGCAUUACAGUAAGUCAACCUAGAGCAUGAACAUGCUUUUCUGCAUCAUGAAGUGACCUCAUAUUUCUGAUCUUGUGUGUGUUUGAAACUUGUGUGUGAGUGAAACACGUGCUGAUCAUGUGAGAGGUGUUGUUACUUGCAGUUAGGGCAAAAGAGACAAUUUCCAGAGACAGCUAAAACAAAACAAAAAACCUCCUUAUAUAGUAUGGAAAAGAACAGAAUGUGCAGGUAGCUGUGUGAGUGUGCUAUAAAAAAAGCAUCUGAGAAAGAGAAAGUCCACUCUCCAUGCUCAUUCUUAAUGUGCAUGUGACAGUCAUCAUUCUGCAGAGAAUAAAGUUUUUGUUCUUGCUUGUACUUGACUUCUCUAUUAUUUUAUUUACUAAUCUUAGAUGGGUUUCCACCACAAUUCUAUGGCACCCCAGAUGGGACCUCACAACUGAGCUGUUGGUAGAGUCCAGGGAAGUGCAUCAUGCAACACCUUGAAGGCUUUACUUCAUCUGAAGCACAGAAUUGGCAUUUAGCAUGACAGGACCUGGAUUCACUAUGUUGUUCAAUGCUGAGAUCAUAUAUAUCUAUUUAAGUAUGUAACUGAAUUUAUGUCUGUGAAUUAUAUUCAGUGUAACAAAAUUUAAACUUGGAUUUUGUCACGAGUGCUAUGGGGCCAUUUGAAAUACAGUCGAAUUGAAAUAGUAAUAUUUCCUAUUCAGAUUGUAUAUUUUAGCUAGAUUUUUGGAUAAAAUCUGCCAUUGCAGUUGACGAACUGAAAUUAGGAACCACCGGAGUUAAACCCUAGUUAUAAGGUGAAUAAAAUAUAUUUCUCAGACAUUUUGAAGUAAUAUAAGAGGAAAAACACUGGUACUUGCAACAGAGGUCAGCAUGAUUAAUGGACUCAAUUAUGGACCAAAAUCUGUGAAACAGUAUUUAAUUGUGGGUGAAUGGGGGAGUGUGGCUUUCCAAAGAAGACAGCUGGAAAUAUUAAAAGAAAAAGUUAGAAACAAAGGAAAAGGGACGAAAGUUGAAGAAACUGGUGGAUUGGGCAACCUAUGAAAUGUGCGUGAAUGAAGAACGUAAUAGAGCACGAAAAUCAAAACCUAAAAAUUAUAAUGCCAAACUUGCACAUAACACUUCUUUCCAUUGUCCUAAGUCUGUUAGAUAACAACCUGGAUGGACAUUCCCCAGCCCUGCUGGUUCCACCAACACCGAGCUAUGAAGACAGCAUCGAACCAGAUUACGUGAGACAGCGAGCACUUCACAACAAUUGUCCAAACCCCUACGCCUGUCUCUCAACACAUGUGCCUGCAAACUGCCCUAGGUGACCCAAUACCUGACGAUCCUUCCUUAUCUGAGUUAGAAGGAUAUGACAAUGAAGUUAGCUGUUGCUAGAACAGAAAACAGCAUAUAUGAUCGUAGCUAGAUGGCUGGGAUACAACACAGAUUUAUUAGAGAUACCUAACCUCUCAGUAAAACGUUGUACACCCAUCUUAACCCUGCCUCUCUUCUCCCAGCAGAUGUGGAUGGUGAGCCUCACAAUUGUGUUGAUGUUAACGAAAUUUGUGGUCCUAAGCCAGACCUGAAACCUAAUCUCCUGGAACCAUGAGGUCUCUGAGACCUGAAUCCUCCUGCAGGCACUCCACUCGUGCUCUGUGGUGUUGUCAUCAUUUUCAACUCUCUUCCAUGGCAGUUGAAUUCUCCUACUUCCUGGAUCUUCCUUAGCAUCCAUUAGUUCCCUCUCUUAUUGUGCAUAGGGCUCUUAUUUACGAUGCGUCCACUCAAACCAUGCCAAUACCUGUUAUUUCCAACUCCCAGUCUACUCAAGCUACUCAAACUCUUCUUCCUCCCCAUGGUUCACUUGGCCCCACCAAUGAUCUCCUUCUUGAGUCACCCAUCUCCUACCAUUCUCCAUUCUCACUCUCCAACCUCUCCUGUACUUCUCUCAACCUCAUCUGAUCGUCCUUGAUGUGAAUAUUCUCUCUGUGCAAAGUACUGAGUCCUUAUUAUUUGAUAACUCAUAUCUGUUUUACUUUUCAUAAUAAACUACUUAUUUUCCUACACUCUCUUCAAUCAUGGU
RNA transcript from Hemibagrus wyckioides, 5375 nucleotides. RefSeq lists it as uncharacterized. Lineage: Eukaryota; Metazoa; Chordata; Actinopteri; Siluriformes; Bagridae. The transcript has 4 exons. The record is from RefSeq and is a predicted model, not a curated record.